GGGAUAACAGUCAGAAAUGACUGCUAAUACCGCAUAAGACCACAGCACCGCAUGGUGCAGGGGUAAAAACUCCGGUGGUACAGGAUGGACCCGCGUCUGAUUAGCUGGUUGGUGAGGUAACGGCUCACCAAGGCGACGAUCAGUAGCCGGCUUGAGAGAGUGAACGGCCACAUUGGGACUGAGACACGGCCCAAACUCCUACGGGAGGCAGCAGUGGGGAAUAUUGCACAAUGGGGGAAACCCUGAUGCAGCGACGCCGCGUGAGUGAAGAAGUAUCUCGGUAUGUAAAGCUCUAUCAGCAGGGAAGAAAAUGACGGUACCUGACUAAGAAGCCCCGGCUGACUACGUGCCAGCAGCCGCGGUAAUACGUAGGGGGCAAGCGUUAUCCGGAAUUACUGGGUGUAAAGGGUGCGUAGGUGGUAUGGCAAGUCAGAAGUGAAAACCCAGGGCUUAACUCUGGGACUGCUUUUGAAACUGUCAGACUGGAGUGCAGGAGAGGUAAGCGGAAUUCCUAGUGUAGCGGUGAAAUGCGUAGAUAUUAGGAGGAACAUCAGUGGCGAAGGCGGCUUACUGGACUGAAACUGACACUGAGGCACGAAAGCGUGGGGAGCAAACAGGAUUAGAUACCCUGGUAGUCCACGCCGUAA
Molecule: ribosomal RNA, 647 nt
Filed under: uncultured bacterium
Lineage: Bacteria
Description: bacterial SSU rRNA
Rfam family: Bacterial small subunit ribosomal RNA
Source: RNAcentral